CCUACGGGUGGCAGCAGUGAGGAAUAUUGGUCAAUGGCCGGAAGGCUGAACCAGCCAAGCCGCGUGCAGGACGAAGGUGCCAAGAAUUGUAAACUUCUUUUGUCAAGGGACAAACUCAGGCUCGCGAGCCUGACCGAGAGUACUUUACGAAAAAGCAUCGGCUAACUCCGUGCCAGCAGCCGCGGUAAUACGGAGGAUUCGAGCGUUAUCCGGAUUUAUUGGGUUUAAAGGGUGAGUAGGCGGUCGGUUAAGUUAGAGGUGAAAUCCCGAGGCUCAACGGCGGCAUGGCCUGUGAAAGUGUUGGGCUAGAGAGGAGGUGAGGUAGGCGGAAUGUAUGGGGUAGCGGUGAAAUGCUGAGAGAUCAUACAGAACACCGAUUGCGAAGGCAGAGUACAAAGCUACUGCGGAGGUGGAGGGACGAAAGCGUGGGGAGCAAACAGGAUUAGAUACACUUGUAGUC
Molecule: ribosomal RNA, 460 nt
Filed under: uncultured bacterium
Lineage: Bacteria
Description: partial 16S ribosomal RNA
Rfam family: Bacterial small subunit ribosomal RNA
Source: RNAcentral